RNAcentral lists this ribosomal RNA (468 nucleotides) under uncultured bacterium. Its description in RNAcentral is "partial 16S ribosomal RNA". It matches the Rfam family "Bacterial small subunit ribosomal RNA", at positions 28 to 507 of the family's 1533-position model. The record is from RNAcentral.
GACGAACGCUGGCGGCGUGCUUAACACAUGCAAGUCGAACGGAAAGGCCCUGCUUUUGUGGGGUGCUCGAGUGGCGAACGGGUGAGUAACACGUGAGUAACCUGCCCUUGACUUUGGGAUAACAUCAGGAAACUGGGGCUAAUACCGGAUAGGAGAUCCUGCUGCAUGGAGGGGGUUGGAAAGUUUCGGCGGUUGGGGAUGGACUCGCGGCAUAUCAGCUUGUUAGUGGGGUAGUGGCUUACCAAGGCUUUGACGGGUAGCCGGCCUGAGAGGGUGACCGGCCACGUUGGGACUGAGAUACGGCCCAGACUCCUACGGGAGGCAGCAGUGGGGAAGAUUGUACAAUGGGCGGAAGCCUGAUGCAGCAACGCCGCGUGCGGGAUGACGGCCUGCGGGUUGUAAAGCGCUUCCGCCUGUGACGAAGCGUGAGUGACGGUAAUGGGUAAAGAAGCACCGGCUAACUACGUG